This 73-nucleotide transfer RNA is filed under the name Ceratocystis platani. RNAcentral describes it as "tRNA-Glu". It matches the Rfam family "tRNA". From Rfam's summary of the family: Transfer RNA (tRNA) molecules are approximately 80 nucleotides in length. The record is from RNAcentral. Lineage: Eukaryota; Fungi; Ascomycota; Sordariomycetes; Microascales; Ceratocystidaceae.
UCCAAUAUGGUCUAGCGGUUAGGAUUCCUCGUUUUCACCGAGGCGGCCGGGGUUCGACUCCCCGUAUUGGAGC